This is a long non-coding RNA of Nomascus leucogenys (northern white-cheeked gibbon), 641 nucleotides long. RefSeq lists it as uncharacterized. The record is from RefSeq and is a predicted model, not a curated record. The transcript has a single exon. Lineage: Eukaryota; Metazoa; Chordata; Mammalia; Primates; Hylobatidae.
AUGCAACUGGGGGAGCACACCCAUCCCCAGAAGAACCCCAAAUCUCUGGCUGGCUGUCUCUUACCCAACCCCCACCCCCAGCUCCAGCAGAGGGGCAAGCGUGCUGCUGGGCUGCUCCCGAGGAGAAACCCACGGCGCCACCCUCAGGCCCCCGGUGGCUCCUCAACCUGGGCCCCAUCUCUGCCCCCCAUCUUGGCUCCCCAGGCAUAAACUUUGCCCCUCCCACCCCCGUGCCUGGCAGAUCCCCUGGCACUGAGGCCCAGCCAGUGGCUCCAGCCAACGCACUUGGCUCCCGCAGCAAGUUAAAUCUAACCCAGCCCAGCUGUCUCUCCUCCGGCUCCCACCUGCCCCUCCCGUUCCCUGCAGGGAUGUGCCCACACCCUGCCCACCCUACACGGGCCCUCAGGAAGGGUGCAGAGGUCCCCCAGGAUCCCCCACUUUCCCACACUAGGAAAGCCCUUUGCCUAACAGCCUCUGGGGUGGGUGCCCUGCUUCCGGAGCUACCCCAGCACCCGGGUGGGGGGGGCGGGGGGCAGCAGAGUGCAGCAGGUUUUCAACAGGUAUUUCAAGAAGGAGCAGGAACCCGCUUCCCAUCAGUCAGGGUGCAGCCAGGAAGAGGGAAACUCCAGGGCCAACACUGA